RNAcentral lists this ribosomal RNA (492 nucleotides) under uncultured bacterium. Its description in RNAcentral is "bacterial SSU rRNA". It matches the Rfam family "Bacterial small subunit ribosomal RNA", at positions 28 to 507 of the family's 1533-position model. The record is from RNAcentral.
GAUGAACGCUAGCUACAGGCUUAACACAUGCAAGUCGAGGGGCAGCAUGAACUUAGCUUGCUAAGUUUGAUGGCGACCGGCGCACGGGUGAAGUAACACGUAUCCAACCUUCCGUUUACUCAGGGAUAGCCUUUCGAAAGAAAGAUUAAUACCUGAUAGUAUGGUGAGAUUGCAUGAUAGCACCAUUAAAGAUUUAUUGGUAAACGAUGGGGAUGCGUUCCAUUAGGUAGUAGGCGGGGUAACGGCCCACCUAGCCGACGAUGGAUAGGGGGUUCUGAGAGGAAGGUCCCCCACAUUGGAACUGAGACACGGUCCAAACUCCUACGGGAGGCAGCAGUGAGGAAUAUUGGUCAAUGGGCGAGAGCCUGAACCAGCCAAGUAGCGUGAAGGAUGAAGGUCCUACGGAUUGUAAACUUCUUUUAUACGGGAAUAAAGUAUCCUACGUGUAGGAUUUUGUAUGUACCGUAUGAAUAAGCAUCGGCUAACUCCGUG